GUCCACGCUGUAAACGUUGCAUACUCGGUCUUAGCGAUACACAGUUAGGACCUAAGCGAAAGCAUUAAGUAUGCCACCUGGGGAGUACGAUCGCAAGAUUGAAACUCAAAGGAAUUGACGGGGGCCCGCACAAGCGGAGGAGCAUGUGGUUUAAUUCGAUGAUACGCGAGGAACCUUACCCGGGCUUGAAAGUUAGUGACGAAUUCUGAAAGGAGUUUUUCUAGCAAUAGACACGAAACUAGGUGCUGCAUGGCUGUCGU
RNAcentral lists this ribosomal RNA (260 nucleotides) under uncultured bacterium. RNAcentral's name for it is "partial 16S ribosomal RNA". It matches the Rfam family "Bacterial small subunit ribosomal RNA", at positions 793 to 1055 of the family's 1533-position model. The record is from RNAcentral.